Paramuricea clavata is the source of this 246-nucleotide non-coding RNA. Lineage: Eukaryota; Metazoa; Cnidaria; Anthozoa; Malacalcyonacea; Plexauridae. The record is from the annotation of a GenBank genome assembly.
CCAAAGGUGAAGCUUAGAAGCGUGGUAUAUAAAUAUGAGUAAUCAUGUUUUGAAUAGGGAUGACUAUGCCUAUUUGCCAGAGGAAUACAUGCAUCUUAUUGGCAAUUAACGUCAUCCCUUGGGUAUAUAAGAAGCCACAUUGCUACUUUAGAUCGCCCCUGAUGAAGACACUGGUAGACUGGAGUGUCGAACCGUUGGGUCUUGGUUACAAUUCGACUGGGCUUUGUAUUCAUUUAUAUAAACCAG